RNAcentral lists this ribosomal RNA (468 nucleotides) under uncultured bacterium. Its description in RNAcentral is "partial 16S ribosomal RNA". It matches the Rfam family "Bacterial small subunit ribosomal RNA", at positions 28 to 507 of the family's 1533-position model. The record is from RNAcentral.
GACGAACGCUGGCGGCGUGCUUAACACAUGCAAGUCGAACGGAAAGGCCCUGCUUUUGUGGGGUGCUCGAGUGGCGAACGGGUGAGUAACACGUGAGUAACCUGCCCUUGACUUUGGGAUAACUUCAGGAAACUGGGGCUAAUACCGGAUAGGAGCUCCUGCUGCAUGGUGGGGGUUGGAAAGUUUCGGCGGUUGGGGAUGGACUCGCGGCUUAUCAGCUUGUUGGUGGGGGGGUGGCUUACCAAGGCUUUGACGGGUAGCCGGCCUGAGAGGGUGACCGGCCACAUUGGGACUGAGAUACGGCCCAGACUCCUACGGGAGGCAGCAGUGGGGAAUAUUGCACAAUGGGCGGAAGCCUGAUGCAGCAACGCCGCGUGCGGGAUGACGGCCUUCGGGUUGUAAACCGCUUUCGCCUGUGACGAAGCGUGAGUGACGGUAAUGGGUAAAGAAGCACCGGCUAACUACGUG